RNAcentral lists this ribosomal RNA (253 nucleotides) under uncultured bacterium. RNAcentral's name for it is "partial 16S ribosomal RNA". It matches the Rfam family "Bacterial small subunit ribosomal RNA", at positions 524 to 776 of the family's 1533-position model. The record is from RNAcentral.
UACGGAGGGUGCAAGCGUUGUUCGGAUUUACUGGGCGUAAAGCGCGCGCAGGUGGAUGAGCAAGUCGGAAGUGAAAUCUUGAGGCUCAACCUCGAGGCUGCUCCCGAAACUGUUCGUCUAGGGACUGGUAGAGGCUGGUAGAAUUCCCGGUGUAGCGGUGAAAUGCGCAGAUAUCAGGAGGAACACCGGUGGCGAAGGCGGAUCUCUGGGCCGUAACUGACGCUGAGGAGCGAAAGCAUGGGGAGCGAACAGG